UUCAAGGAGUUGGGAGGUCGAUUGUCUUGAGUACGACAUUCACAUAUGGAAGUGUUUUUACGGAUUGAUAUCACUGCAACUCUUGAUUUUAGGCUGUAUGCCCUUUGGGUUAUUAUGGGUUUAGCCCUUGGGCUUCGAGUUGCAAGCAGCAUUUCUGGGGUUUCAUCUGCAAAUUUUUGUUUUUAUUUUUAUUUUUCCUUUACAUGGUGUGUUCAUUUAACAAUUUUGACUCAUGUUUUAUGGGUUACAAUUAUGAUGGUCAGCCUGUUUAGGUGCCAAGCGACGAGAUGGUGGGCGGCGGCGAUGAUAUGUUCAACACUGUCUUUAGUGAGAUAAUUGAGUAAUGCACUACAACAGUAAGUAAUCCUUCUCAAACUACCAUGCCAAUAUAAUUCUUUCUCAGUGUGAAACCCUAAGUGAUAAUAUGAAUUGGAUAUUAUCAUUCGAAACACUAACCUAUAAAUGAUGUUAUUUUUGUUUUAUGCCUUUAGUUUGUAAGGAAAUGAUGGAUCUGUGUCUGGAUCGAAACCAGAACAACUGCACAUGUCUGCAGGGGUUUCAUAUAUUCCACUUGGUAGUAGGCGUAAUCGGGUCAGGGUUUUGAUUUAUUGUCCUAGAGAGACUUUAUGUGAACUACGGAAAGAAACCUGAGUCGGAUUUGAUGUUUUACCCAUCUACUCUGGUCUGCACAUCUGUAGUGUAACCCUCCAAUAGCGCGCUCUCGACUAAUUCGCUCUUAGAGCACACUGAUAUUGUCGCUUUGUUAGCUGACGAGGACAUUUAUGACAUCGAGUGCCCUAAUUACACUAACCUUAACUGGGUUUUCUCUAGUCAGUAACUAUUUUUUUCUGUUUCCUGAACUUCAGGACAAGAAUAUUUAUGGUUAUGUUAUGGUCUUUAAUUGUUCCAUUCCAUGGCCCUCUGCCUCAUUUACAGAUGAGAUGUUGUGACCAAGGGUUUGAAUCCUGUUGUUGCCGCUAUUAAGAUUAAGAGGACUAUCCAGUUUGUGGAGUAGUGUUCUACUCGGUUCAAGUGGUAACAAUUAUUAGCCCUCAAACGUGCCUCCUGAUGACGAUCUUGCCAAUGGUGCAGAGGCCUGUUUGCACGAUUUUUAACUCAACAAAGUGUUGCUGAUUUCUCUUGUAUUAAUCACAAGAUUGAUCUCAUGUAUGCAAAGCAUGCCUUGUGCACAGGUAUGUUUGUGUGGGUAUAAAAAGAGGACAAUAAAAAUAAACAUUUUACACUAAGACUAUCUAAAAUGCUCAGAAAGGUCAACCUGCUCUAGUUUCCAAACAGAUUUAGCCGCCCUCCGGCAAUGUUUAUGUUGGAAUUUAGAUUUUCAGAGGUAUACAUAAUUAACAUGGGAUCUAGAUACCACCUUAUAGUAGUUUUAAUUUUGAUUUUUCGAAUCUCCUUCAAGACCUUGCUUAAGAGAAAUUAUAAGAUCAAUAGUUUGUGUUUGCUCUUUCAAACUACAUACCAUAGUUUGCAGUCAUUUUGAACUGGUGGCUACAAAAUAAGGACCAGCCAGAUCCCAUCUUAGGAGCACAUGAUAGGGCACCAAAUUCAGGAAGAAAAUUCCCCUUGUCAGGAAUGCAUGCCUGGGACUAUUUGGCUUUUAUGGUGAGCAACUUGCACUGGAGAAUAUCUCUGUUGCGAAUUUGAAUUCAGACGUUAUAAACAAUCAUGCGUUAGCUUUUGAAGUAUGAUUCUCACAAGCUCAAUAUAUAAAAGCCUUGAAGAUAUUGUCGAAGGGUUGCCCUAUAUCUAUAAGCUAUUUUCCUUAAAUUAUUAGUUUCUUUCUUGACAUGUGUGGAUGACUCUGUUUCCUCCAAUUCGAGGGAGGCUUUGAGUUACUUCUUGUUGAAUCCUUCAAACUAAUAACAGCUAUGUCAUACCUUAGGUAACAUUGGAUGACACUUCCUAUUUGUUGUUAAAACUCUACUCAGGGUUUGCUACCACGGCUAUUUCAUGAUUUUCUAUUUCGUAGUCAUUUAAUUUUGUGUUAAGGACAGGGAUGGGGGCAACACAAUGAGGUUAACUAGAAUUAUCUGGACAAAACUGAAAUUGAUAGUCAAGCAGUUAUGUUCUAAAGCUUCAGUUUACUGCUUGCACACAUGAUUAAUGGCUAUGCUAGUUAAUUGGUGUGCUGGAACAGAUUGCCAUUUUUAAAAGCUAUCAUUGCAUCAAUCUGGAGAAACUCAUUAUACUGAAUAAAUUUUGUUGUGAUUCAGUUUCACCCAUAAUAUUAGUACCAACUUCUUAUGUCUUAAUAGAAGUAAUCAGAAUUAUCUUGCAGAAUUAUUUGCAAGUAGCUGUAGAAGAUCAAUGCAUAUUUCAUUUGUGUCGAUUUUAUUUAAAGUUUGCCUGGUGAUGAAAGAGAAAAACAUUAGCAUUUUUUGCAUCAUGUAGAUCCUAUGAAGGCAAGGAAAUUGGAUGCAGAGUUUAUCAGAUGAAAUUCUAUUGGGAGCAUUCCUGUUCUAGUCGCUGUGAAUAUAUUCUCUGUGGACCACCAUUAAUUAUUCAGUAUGUUUCCUUUAUCGACAGUUGUAUAUGAUUGUAAUUAUCGUAGGAAGCUUUACUAGAAAAGCCUAAUUUCUUUAUUUUGGUAUCAUAACGGUGUGUAUGGUUUAGUGGGUAUCUUGCCAAUAUUGAAAAGCCCUUAGGCAGUAACAUAGUUGAUCAUGGAAAUGUUCGGGAGUGGCUAAAGAAGAUUCAUUCAUGGUACUUGAAACUCUUCUCUUUAAGUCACUGUCCAAAUGAAGCUCUUACAGAGCUGAUCGUGAAAAGGUUUGGAGUGGCUAGAGAAGAUUCAUCCAUGGGACUUAAAACUCGUCAUUUUAAGCUACUGUCCAGAUGAAGCUUCUCACCUUUUUAGCAUAAUCAAAAGGUAAGUUGCAAUUCACACCUUGCAAAUGCCAAAAUGUCCUAAUCUUGCAGAGACGUUCCGUAGAGGCAGCACUCAAUGGAGAAGGAUUGAAUGUCCAACUUCUAUUAAGUUUAAGAUUAUUAGCUUGCUGACCAUAUCUAAAAAUCAAUUGAAUCAUGUUCAAGUACUUGGCUGGAUCUGAGUUUUAUGUGAGAGAUUGUGUAGAUUUUCCUACACAUGCCAGGAUUUUGAGGUAUUGAAGGUGGACAAAGAAUACUAGCCCCUGCUCCUACACAAUCACUCGCUUAAAGCCUGCUGAAAAAACGAGCACGAGUACAUGCGUGGCUGGCUAUGCUGCCUCCUACUACCGCCAUGACUAUAUUUCUCUCCUUUUUCCUACUCUCUCAAAUUUUUCAUUAUGGUUCUAUGCCUUUUGAAUCCCAAAAAUUUGGGUCUGAAAGUUCUCACUAUCAUUCUUUGCUGCCAUCGUGAUUAAGGACAUUGUUACGUCUCAUAGACUAUUUGGGUGAACGAGGAGUGAGUAUAAACCAUAAAAAUGCUAUCCCCGGCUGUAGAUUCUCUCUACAGUAAAUUAUAAUUUAUAGAAUUUGUUAAUUAAAUCCGAAUAUCUGGCAUUAAGUUCUACUAUCUAUGGGACAUUCAGUGAUAUAUUUAAUUCUUCCAUUGCAUGCAGAGACCACCAUUCUCGGUAAAGAUAAAUCUUUUGUCAUUAUAAGAUUAAAACCUUCUUUCCAGGUAUGGGGAAAAUGGGUGGUGUGGCACUCCAAUUGCUUUGCCUUCGUUGUGGAUUAGUCAUGAUCAUAAGCAUGUUGAUUUGUUUUGUUCAUUUAUUUUUUUGUUCUUGGCAUGCAUGUUUCCCUGCCCACAGGAUGGGUAGAUAUCUGGAUAUGGAUUUCUUGUCCUGACACGUUUCCACAGGUUGGAUAUCUACAGACAUUUGGAUUCCCCAAGUCUUCAGUGUAUAGUUCGGCAAUGAAUCCUAAUAAACCAUGUCAUGUUUAUUUUUGAUGGAUUUUUUUUGAAGUAUGGGUUAUUGAUUCUGUUAAGUUUUGGGUACUUUUCAUAUAUCAGAUACUGGGAGCUUGUGUUUGACGGUGAACCGUUGGUAUCGAUCACCCACUCAAUUGUAGUUCCUGACAAGAGUAAUUUUUUUUCUUGAUGGGACUUUAGUAAUAUUCCGGCUCUGUGGGUUUAUUAGAUCGGUGGAUACAAGUCUAAAUUCUCGAUUGGGUGUGAUGCUAGGUGAGAUGUUUCUUUUCUAUUUCUUGGUCCUACAUUUCCAAUGAAUAUAAUACAAGGCUGAAGUUUUUACUUAACGUUAUCAACGCUGAAGUAUUUUAUUAAGACAUAAACAUACCAAACAAUUUUCCAAGGUAGCAAGACAUUAUUUAUUCAAGGAUUUCUUUGCAAAUCA
Cryptomeria japonica (Japanese cedar) is the source of this 4304-nucleotide long non-coding RNA. RefSeq lists it as uncharacterized. The transcript is spliced from 2 exons. NCBI's taxonomy places the organism in Eukaryota, Viridiplantae, Streptophyta, Pinopsida, Cupressales, Cupressaceae. The record is from RefSeq and is a predicted model, not a curated record.